CCUACGGGAGACAGCAGUGGGGAAUAUUGCACAAUGGGGGAAACCCUGAUGCAGCGACGCCGCGUGAAGGAAGAAGUAUUUCGGUAUGUAAACUUCUAUCAGCAGGGAAGAAAAUGACGUUACCUGACUAAGAAGCCCCGGCUAACUACGUGCCAGCAGCCGCGGUAAUACGUAGGGGGCAAGCGUUAUCCGGAUUUACUGGGUGUAACGGGAGCGUAGGCGGUGAUGCAAGUCAGAAGUGAAAGCCCGCAGCUCAACUGCGGGACUGCUUUUGAAACUGUACGGCUGGAGUGCAGGAGAGGUAAGUGGAAUUCCUAGUGGAGCGGUGAAAUGCGUAGAUAUUAGGAGGAACACCAGUGGCGAAGGCAGCUUACUGGAAUGUAACUGACGUUGAGGCUCGAAAGCGUGGGGAGCAAACAGGAUUAGAUACCCGAGUAGUC
RNAcentral lists this ribosomal RNA (440 nucleotides) under uncultured bacterium. RNAcentral describes it as "partial 16S ribosomal RNA". It matches the Rfam family "Bacterial small subunit ribosomal RNA", at positions 338 to 795 of the family's 1533-position model. The record is from RNAcentral.